UUAAGACGGGUCGAAUGGGGAGCCCACAGGCCAGCGUCCGGAGCGUGCAGAUGCCGAAGCACGCCAGAGGCGCGCGCUGCCUACCACAAUCAAGGAGACGACGUUCCACGAGCGUAUCAAAAGCCCGGGCUUUGGCCGCCCCCCCGUCGAAUGGGGAGCCCACAGGCCAGCGUCCGGAGCGUGCAGAUGCCGAAGCACGCCAGAGGCGCGCGCUGCGUACCACAAUCAAGGAGACGACGUUCCACGAGCGUAUCAAAAGAC
RNAcentral lists this long non-coding RNA (261 nucleotides) under Nicotiana benthamiana. RNAcentral describes it as "long non-coding RNA (NBEN_LNC017510)". Lineage: Eukaryota; Viridiplantae; Streptophyta; Magnoliopsida; Solanales; Solanaceae. The record is from RNAcentral.